RNAcentral lists this long non-coding RNA (300 nucleotides) under Jatropha curcas. RNAcentral's name for it is "long non-coding RNA (JCUR_LNC000949)". The record is from RNAcentral. Lineage: Eukaryota; Viridiplantae; Streptophyta; Magnoliopsida; Malpighiales; Euphorbiaceae.
CAUCGGUGAACGACAGCAACCAUCGAUUUGGUCAGGUGAUGCUGAAAUAAUCGAUUCAUUUUAUGCGUUCUCUGCAGAGAUGGGACGGAUAGAUAAGGAGAUAGAGAGAAGGAACAAGGAUCCUAGCCUUAAGAACAGGUGUGGUGCAGGAGUUUUGCCAUAUGAAUUACUAGCACCUAGCUCAGAACCUGGUGUAACAUGUAGAGGAGUACCAAAUAGUGUGUCCAUAUGAGUCAAAAGAAUGUGACUUGAAACUGUCACAUUCUAUUGCCUUAUUUAUUGGAACCAUUCUUAUAAAAU